ACCCAGCCUUGCAUUCCAAAGCUGCGCACCGCCAGCCACUAUCAUGUCCACUCCCGGGGUCAAUGCGUCCGCCUCCUUGGGCCCCGACCGGCUGAACAGCCCAGUGACCAUCCCGGCGGUGAUGUUCAUCUUCGGGGUGGUGGGCAACCUGGUGGCCAUCGUGGUGCUGUGCAAGUCGCGCAAGGAGCAGAAGGAGACAACCUUCUACACGCUGGUAUGUGGGCUGGCUGUCACCGACCUGUUGGGCACUUUGUUGGUGAGCCCGGUAACCAUCGCCACGUACAUGAAGGGCCAGUGGCCCGGGGGCCAGCCGCUGUGCGAGUACAGCACCUUCAUUCUGCUCUUCUUCAGCCUGUCCGGCCUCAGCAUCAUCUGCGCCAUGA
This 383-nucleotide long non-coding RNA is filed under the name Pongo abelii (Sumatran orangutan). Its description in RNAcentral is "lincRNA". Lineage: Eukaryota; Metazoa; Chordata; Mammalia; Primates; Hominidae. The record is from RNAcentral.